UACGUAGGGUCCGAGCGUUGUCCGGAAUUAUUGGGCGUAAAGGGCGCGUAGGCGGCGCGAUAAGUCAAAGGUGAAAUCCCUCGGCUCAACUGAGGAACUGCCUUUGAAACUGUCGGGCUUGAGGCCGGGAAGGGGUAGCGGAAUUCCCAGUGUAGCGGUGAAAUGCGUAGAUAUUGGGAGGAACACCAGUGGCGAAGGCGGCUACCUGGACCGGUUCUGACGCUGAUGCGCGAAAGCGUGGGUAGCAAACAGG
RNAcentral lists this ribosomal RNA (253 nucleotides) under uncultured bacterium. RNAcentral describes it as "partial 16S ribosomal RNA". It matches the Rfam family "Bacterial small subunit ribosomal RNA", at positions 524 to 776 of the family's 1533-position model. The record is from RNAcentral.